Molecule: unclassified non-coding RNA, 387 nt
Filed under: soil metagenome
Description: partial contains 5.8S ribosomal RNA, internal transcribed spacer 2, and large subunit ribosomal RNA
Rfam family: 5.8S ribosomal RNA (bases 1-120)
Source: RNAcentral
GAUGAAGAACGCAGCGAAAUGCGAUAAGUAAUGUGAAUUGCAGAAUUCAGUGAAUCAUCGAAUCUUUGAACGCACCUUGCGCUCCUUGGUAUUCCGAGGAGCAUGCCUGUUUGAGUGUCGUGAAAUUCUCAACCUGCCGUACUUUUUACAAGUCCGUCAGGCUUGGAUUAUGGGACUUGCUGGUUUCUUCUGAAAUCAGCUCUCCUUAAAUGUAUUAGCACAAUCUCUGCUGACCAUCUUUGGUAUGAUAAUUAUCUAUACCAUUGAGAAUCAGUUUUCCGCCUUGGAAGGAUUUUGCUUCUAAUCGUCUUCGCAGACAACUUGACAAUUUGACCUCAAAUCAGGUAGGACUACCCGCUGAACUUAAGCAUAUCAAUAAGCGGAGGA